GAGAGUUAAACAGUACGUGAAAUUGUUGAAAGGGAAACGAUUGAAGUCAGUCAUACCAACGGGAAAUCAACCUUUUGAGCUUGGUUUCGUGGGUUUUGAAGAGUUUCAAAGCCUUCGGAUUCGCGAGAUUGGGAUCUCUCGGUGUACUUUCUCGUACGGUUAGUCAACAUCGGUUUUGAAUGUCAUAAAAUGACUGGAGGAAUGUAGCUUCGAUCUCGUAUUGAAGUGUUAUAGCCUUUGGUAGAUGUGAUGUUUGAGACCGAGGAUUGCAACGGAUACCCUUCAGGGCUAUUCGUCUGAUCUCUGAUACGUUGCCUUGAUGUUGAAAGCUUGCUUAUGAUGUUAGGGUAUUACGGUCAAAAGGUUAGAACGAAUUACAUUCGUUAAGGAUGUUGACGUAAUGACUUUAAACGA
RNAcentral lists this ribosomal RNA (414 nucleotides) under uncultured Funneliformis. RNAcentral describes it as "partial 28S ribosomal RNA". Lineage: Eukaryota; Fungi; Glomeromycota; Glomeromycetes; Glomerales; Glomeraceae. The record is from RNAcentral.